GUGCUCACUUCAGCAGCACAUAUACUAAAAUUGGAAUGAUACAGAGAAGAUUAUCAUGGCCCUUGCACAAGGAUGACACGCAAAUUUGUGAAGCGUUCCAUAUUUUU
This is a small nuclear RNA of Aotus nancymaae (Ma's night monkey), 107 nucleotides long. The record is from Ensembl. NCBI's taxonomy places the organism in Eukaryota, Metazoa, Chordata, Mammalia, Primates, Aotidae.